RNAcentral lists this transfer RNA (85 nucleotides) under Rhodoblastus acidophilus. RNAcentral's name for it is "tRNA-Leu". It matches the Rfam family "tRNA". From Rfam's summary of the family: Transfer RNA (tRNA) molecules are approximately 80 nucleotides in length. Lineage: Bacteria; Pseudomonadati; Pseudomonadota; Alphaproteobacteria; Hyphomicrobiales; Rhodoblastaceae. RNAcentral also lists the same sequence under 2 other names. The record is from RNAcentral.
GCGGGCGUGGCGAAAUUGGUAGACGCAAGGGACUUAAAAUCCCUCGGCUUCGGCCGUGCCGGUUCGAGCCCGGCCGCCCGCACCA